This 433-nucleotide ribosomal RNA is filed under the name uncultured bacterium. Its description in RNAcentral is "partial 16S ribosomal RNA". It matches the Rfam family "Bacterial small subunit ribosomal RNA", at positions 29 to 507 of the family's 1533-position model. The record is from RNAcentral.
AACGAACGCUGGCGGCAGGCCUAACACAUGCAAGUCGAGCGAGGACUUCGGUCCUAGCGGCGGACGGGUGAGUAACGCGUGGGAACGUGCCCUUUGCUUCGGAAUAGCCCUGGGAAACUGGGAGUAAUACCGGAUGAGCCCUUUGGGGGAAAGAUUUAUCGGCGAAGGAUCGGCCCGCGUUGGAUUAGGUAGUUGGUGGGGUAAUGGCCUACCAAGCCGACGAUCCAUAGCUGGUUUGAGAGGAUGAACAGCCACACUGGGACUGAGACACGGCCCAGACUCCUACGGGAGGCAGCAGUGGGGAAUCUUAGACAAUGGAGGAAACCCUGAUCUAGCCAUGCCGCGUGAGCGAUGAAGGCCUUAGGGUUGUAAAGCUCUUUCAGCUGGGAAGAUAAUGACGGUACCAGCAGAAGAAGCCCCGGCUAACUCCGUG